GGUUCUGUAGCUUAGCUGGUGAAAGCGCCGGGUUGUCAACUCGGAGAUCGCGGGUUCAAGUCCCGUCAGAACCGCCA
RNAcentral lists this transfer RNA (77 nucleotides) under Sphingobium phage Lacusarx. RNAcentral describes it as "tRNA-Asp". It matches the Rfam family "tRNA". From Rfam's summary of the family: Transfer RNA (tRNA) molecules are approximately 80 nucleotides in length. The record is from RNAcentral. Lineage: Duplodnaviria; Heunggongvirae; Uroviricota; Caudoviricetes.